Molecule: long non-coding RNA, 666 nt
Organism: Anolis carolinensis (green anole)
Lineage: Eukaryota; Metazoa; Chordata; Lepidosauria; Squamata; Anolidae
Source: Ensembl
AUGUGUAUUUUAAGUUCAGUUGCGUAUGUUCUCUAUCUGUCUUUUAACCCAACGUUCUCCCUUCCUUCCUUCCUUCCUUCCUUCCUUCCUUCCUUCCUUCCUUCCUUCCUUCCUUCCUUCCUUUUUGUCUUCCUACAGCAACCCACAAGCCACCGAAAACUCCUUCUGGCGGAACAGGUGACUUUGACUUGCCCGACCCCUUUGACACCCCGCCGGAGAGGACAACAAAACCAGCAAAGGCAACCACUGGGCCUUAUCCACGGAAACCAGAGGAUGGCCGCUGGAACGUGCUGCAUACCACCACCACCAAGCAGCCGAAAACCACCAAGCCCCCUCCAAAGAAGACCCCAGCCAAAGAUCCCAUGGACUUUGACCUGUCUGAUGCCUUGGAUGACCAAAAUGAUGGGAGAGAUGGUGGGAUGCCCAAUGUCAAUCCUGGUGGCAGAGAACUUUCAGACUCUGACUUGGCCGAUAUCCUUGACGAAGGAGGUUACAAACCGGACAAGAAGAAAGGAGGAAGUGGUGUCAGCGGUGGAGGCGAGAGCAACUAUGAUGACGGUAAGAGAACAUUCCCCUGGCUCUUAUAGCUUAUGUCCAACUUCAGACAACUUAUGUCAAACUCUAUACCUGACUGGAAAACACAAUCUGCCAUUCUCCAGAUACUAA